GGGGUCCGCAGGGAAUGGCGGGCCGAUGACGUGAACCCCGGAAUAAGCCCCGGCUAACUACGUGCCAGCAGCCGCGGUAACACGUAGGGGGCGAGCGUUGUUCGGAAUCAUUGGGCGUAAAGGGCGCGCAGGCGGCGAGGCAAGUCCGGUGUGAAACUGCUCGGCUCAACCGAGUGAUGCGCUGGAAACUGCCCUGCUUGAGUACAGGAGGGGACGUCGGAAUUCCAGGUGUAGGGGUGAAAUCUGUAGAUAUCUGGAAGAACACCGGUGGCGAAGGCGGACGUCUGGCCAUGUACUGACGCUGAGGCGCGAAGGUGCGGGGAGCGAACAGGUUUAGAUACCCUGGUAGUCCGCACAGUAAACGAUGUGCACCAGGUGGCGGGGGGUAGCCCUCGGUACCGAAGCCAACGCAUUAAGUGCACCGCCUGGGGAGUAUGCUCGCAAGGGUGAAACUCA
RNAcentral lists this ribosomal RNA (456 nucleotides) under uncultured bacterium. Its description in RNAcentral is "bacterial SSU rRNA". It matches the Rfam family "Bacterial small subunit ribosomal RNA", at positions 439 to 903 of the family's 1533-position model. The record is from RNAcentral.